RNAcentral lists this ribosomal RNA (253 nucleotides) under uncultured bacterium. RNAcentral's name for it is "partial 16S ribosomal RNA". It matches the Rfam family "Bacterial small subunit ribosomal RNA", at positions 524 to 776 of the family's 1533-position model. The record is from RNAcentral.
UACGUAGGGUCCGAGCGUUGUCCGGAAUUAUUGGGCGUAAAGAGCUUGUAGGCGGUCUGUCACGUCUGCUGUGAAAAUCCGGGGCUCAACCCCGGACUUGCAGUGGGUACGGGCAGACUAGAGUGUGGUAGGGGAGACUGGAAUUCCUGGUGUAGCGGUGAAAUGCGCAGAUAUCAGGAGGAACACCGAUGGCGAAGGCAGGUCUCUGGGCCACUACUGACGCUGAGGAGCGAAAGCGUGGGGAGCAAACAGG